GACGAACGCUGGCGGCGUGCUUAACACAUGCAAGUCGAGCGGUAAGGCCCUUUCGGGGGUACACGAGCGGCGAACGGGUGAGUAACACGUGGGUGACCUGCCCUCAGCUCUGGGAUAAGCCUGGGAAACCGGGUACUAAUACUGGAUAUGACUCCAUGACGCAUGUUGUGGGGUGGAAAGCCUUGUGCGGCUGAGGAUGGGCCCGCGGCCU
This 211-nucleotide ribosomal RNA is filed under the name uncultured bacterium. RNAcentral's name for it is "partial 16S ribosomal RNA". It matches the Rfam family "Bacterial small subunit ribosomal RNA", at positions 28 to 239 of the family's 1533-position model. The record is from RNAcentral.